This 76-nucleotide transfer RNA is filed under the name Planctomycetota bacterium. Its description in RNAcentral is "Planctomycetes bacterium (groundwater metagenome) tRNA-Ala". It matches the Rfam family "tRNA". Rfam says of the family: Transfer RNA (tRNA) molecules are approximately 80 nucleotides in length. Their secondary structure includes four short double-helical elements and three loops (D, anti-codon, and T loops). Lineage: Bacteria; Pseudomonadati; Planctomycetota. The record is from RNAcentral.
GGGGGAUUAGCUCAGUUGGGAGAGCGUUGCACUGGCAGUGCAAAGGUCGAGGGUUCGAGUCCCUUAUCCUCCACCA